CGGGGCCCUGAAUGCGUGCGGAGAUGGUUGUGUCCCGGGUAUCUGUGGCAUCAGGCGGGAAGUGAGACAGGUCCCGCCCAUGUUCCGGGAAGGGAGGGCCCUGUCCCGGGACCUGUGACGUCACAUGGAAAGUGAGUGGGGUCCUGCGCUCCGUGUGCACGUGUGGGGGUGUUGUGUCCGGGGAGCUAUGUCAUCAUGGCAGGAAGUGAGCCUGGUCCUGCCCCCUGUGCGGGGAAGGCUGUGUCGGGGGAACUGUGACGUCACGGCGGAAACAGGAGCACGGCUGCAUGUCCUGCAGCUCAUUCACGUGGAGACUCUAGGCCUUUCCUCAUCAGCAGCAGUGAGAAAGCGCAAAGGAAGCCCUCUGGCUGGCGUGCCAGAGCCAUGUCCCACCAGGACCCAUGCCUGCCCCCUGACUCACGCGGGCCGCCGGCCUGCCCAGGCCGUGCUCUUGUGUAACCGGGUGGGGGCCCAGGGGAGUGGUCCUGGGUGAAAGCGGCCGUGCCUCCCAAAACCUGGAAAUGACUCUAAAGGUGACUGGCCCACCAGGGAUCUCUUGGAGUUUUAAUUUUUAUUGCCGAAAUGGGGAACUACUGCAGAUUCUUGCGGAGGUGUUCUUCCUGGCGGACGAAGUGGGAGCCUCAGCCUCCGGGAGAGGUGGUGGAGGACACUGCAGAUGUCUGCGCCUCCGAGGUCUCACGGGGCCCUGUGCGCAUUAAUUUUAGGUGUCAACUUGGCUGGGCCAUGUUGCCUAGAAUGUGGCCAAAUAUUAUUCGGGAUGUUUCUGUGAGGAUGUUUUUGAUAUUUUAUGUUCGGACUGUUGGACUUUGACUAAAGCAAAUUGUUCUCUGUGAUGGGGGUGGGCCUCAUUCCAUCAGUUGAAGGCCUGAUGAGAGCAAAAACACUGAUCUCCCCCAAGUAAGAGGGACUCUUCCAGCAGACGGCCUUCAGACAGGACCCGCAGCGUCGGCUGCUCCUUGGGCCUCCAGCCUGCAGCCUCGUCAGCCUCCACAGUCACGUGAGCAAUUCCUUCAAAUAAACCUUUCUCUCUCCA
This is a long non-coding RNA of Suricata suricatta (meerkat), 1054 nucleotides long. RefSeq lists it as uncharacterized. NCBI's taxonomy places the organism in Eukaryota, Metazoa, Chordata, Mammalia, Carnivora, Herpestidae. The record is from RefSeq and is a predicted model, not a curated record. The transcript is spliced from 3 exons.